This is a small nucleolar RNA of Dendrobium catenatum, 117 nucleotides long. RefSeq annotates it as small nucleolar RNA snoR74. The record is from RefSeq and is a predicted model, not a curated record. NCBI's taxonomy places the organism in Eukaryota, Viridiplantae, Streptophyta, Magnoliopsida, Asparagales, Orchidaceae. The transcript has a single exon.
UAAAUUGUUUAUUUAUCUGUUUUUUUCUCGUAUACUUUAGGGAAAUAUAUUCAUCGUUAUUGGGUGAACCAUUGCUAGUUAUCAAUAGUAUAUGGUUCAAUAAACAAUGAUACACAU